This 253-nucleotide ribosomal RNA is filed under the name uncultured bacterium. RNAcentral describes it as "partial 16S ribosomal RNA". It matches the Rfam family "Bacterial small subunit ribosomal RNA", at positions 524 to 776 of the family's 1533-position model. The record is from RNAcentral.
GACGAACCGUCCAACCGUUAUUCGGAAUCACUGGGCUUACAGAGUUCGUAGGCGGUCUGGCAAGUUGGGUGUGAAAUCCCUCGGCCUAACCGAGGAACUGCGCUUGAAACUACCAGACUCGAGGGAGAUAGAGGAAAGCGGAACUGAAGGUGGAGCGGUGAAAUGCGUUGAUAUCAUCAGGAACACCGGUGGCGAAGGCGGCUUUCUGGGUCUUACCUGACGCUGAGGAACGAAAGCCAGGGGAGCGAACGGG